UGAUGAUGUGAUGAAGAUGAUGGUGAUGAUGAUGUGAUGAUGAAGAUGAUGGUGAUGGUGAUGAUGUGAUGAUGAAGAUGAUGGUGGUGAUGAUGUGAUGAUGAAGAUGUGAUGAUGAUGAUGGUGAUGAUUAGACAAUUAGACGGUUUUUUAAUUGCUUCUCAUUGUCACUAUAGAAACGAUAAUGUGUUGGAAGGAGCGCGUUAAUGUGAGCCUGCGCCGCUGCCGGAGCUGCUGUUAUCUGUCCAAUCAGAAUCCAGAAUUGAACAGCACGGUUGUAUAAACAGCUUCGGAAAGACGCGAUGAUUAAAAAUAACGCUCCGUACGCGCUGCAGCUGCUCGCGUCUGUGCAAGCCGUCAGUUUGGGUUUUGCUCCAAAUUCGACGUUAACAAAAACAAGCCGUACGCCUUUAGAGCGGCGUUCUGCAGGAAUAAACGCAACCCCACUGUGCGACAGGAACAGGAUCAUUUGUCAGAGAAUAAAAAAGCUGCAGUUCUGUAAAAUCUUUGGGGUUUUUCUCACUUGGCUCCGGAGGCUGUGGACGCGUUUGGAAGGAAAGACUUCGCACCUGGUGCUGUCUGACUUCAUCUCAGCUUUUUACACUAACGCAUGAGCUCACGGACACCUGACACCACCGCUAUCACGAGGAGAGGAGGAGAGGAGAGGAGAGGAGGAAAAGACAAGAGAAGAGAGGAGGAAAAGACAUGAGAGGAGAGGAGAAGAGAGGAGAGGAGAAGAGGAGAGGAGGGGAGACGAGAGAAGAGAAGAGAGGAGAAGAGAGGAGAAGAGAGGAGAAGAGAGGAGCAGAGAAGAGAGGAGAGGAGAGGAGAGGAGAUGAGAAGAGAG
Ictalurus punctatus (channel catfish) is the source of this 847-nucleotide long non-coding RNA. Lineage: Eukaryota; Metazoa; Chordata; Actinopteri; Siluriformes; Ictaluridae. The record is from Ensembl.